Molecule: ribosomal RNA, 110 nt
Filed under: Muribaculaceae bacterium Isolate-080 (Janvier)
Lineage: Bacteria; Pseudomonadati; Bacteroidota; Bacteroidia; Bacteroidales; Muribaculaceae
Source: RNAcentral
AUUGGUGAUUAUAGCUACGUGUAGAGCACCUCUUCCCAUUCCGAACAGAGAAGUGAAGAACGUAAACGCCGAUGGUACUUUGAAAAAGGGAGAGUAGGAAAUCGCCUCAG